RNAcentral lists this ribosomal RNA (568 nucleotides) under Oidiodendron truncatum. Its description in RNAcentral is "partial 28S ribosomal RNA". It matches the Rfam family "Eukaryotic large subunit ribosomal RNA", at positions 56 to 645 of the family's 3401-position model. The record is from RNAcentral. Lineage: Eukaryota; Fungi; Ascomycota; Leotiomycetes; Myxotrichaceae.
GAACCAACAGGGAUUGCCUCAGUAACGGCGAGUGAAGCGGCAACAGCUCAAAUUUGAAAUCUGGCCCUUUCAGGGCCCGAGUUGUAAUUUGGAGAAGAUGCUUCGGGUGCGGCCCCGGUCUAAGUUCCUUGGAACAGGACGUCACAGAGGGUGAGAAUCCCGUACGUGCCCGGUGGUCGCCCCCGUGUGAAGCUCUUUCGACGAGUCGAGUUGUUUGGGAAUGCAGCUCAAAAUGGGUGGUAAAUUUCAUCUAAAGCUAAAUAUUGGCCAGAGACCGAUAGCGCACAAGUAGAGUGAUCGAAAGAUGAAAAGCACUUUGGAAAGAGAGUUAAACAGUACGUGAAAUUGUUGAAAGGGAAGCGCUUGCAACCAGACUUGCGCGCGGCCGAUCAUCCGGUGUUCGCACCGGUGCACUCGACCGCGCGCAGGCCAGCAUCGGUUUGGGUGGCUGGAGAAAGGCCACGGGAAUGUGGCUCCCCUCGGGGAGUGUUAUAGCCCGCGGCGCAAUGCAGCCCACCCGGACCGAGGACCGCGCUUCGGCUAGGAUGCUGGCGUAAUGGUUGUAAGC